Molecule: long non-coding RNA, 293 nt
Filed under: Heterocephalus glaber (naked mole-rat)
Lineage: Eukaryota; Metazoa; Chordata; Mammalia; Rodentia; Bathyergidae
Description: lncRNA (ENSHGLG00000041855.1)
Source: RNAcentral
CUUUCCUCUGCCAGGCCCUUCCACCAUUGUUUCUGCCUUGGAGCCAGUAAACCAUGGACUGAACCCACUGAAGCUGGGAGCCAAAACUUCUCUUCCUUUGUGUUAUGAGCAACAGAUAUUUUGUCCUAGUGUCAAGAAGCUAAUAUGAGCAGGAGAAGGUCAUAAGGGUCUUUAAUCUGGACUGUAUCCUUAUAGCAAGAGGAAGAGACCUAGAACCCUCUUCCUGUGUGCACACAGAGAAGGCGCCACUGAGGCCACUGCAAGAAGGUGGAGUCUGUGAGCCAGAAGACAGC